GAUGAAGAACGUAGCGAAAUGCGAUAAGUAAUGUGAAUUGCAGAAUUCCGUGAAUCAUCGAAUCUUUGAACGCACAUUGCGCCCCCUGGUAUUCCGGGGGGCAUGCCUGUCCGAGCGUCAUUGCAACCCUCAAGCGCGGCUUGUGUGUUGGGCUUCGUCCCCCCGUGGACGUGCCCGAAAGGCAGUGGCGGCGUCCCGAAUGGUGCCCGAGCGUAUGGGAACUCUCUUCCGCUCGAACCGGCCCAUUCGGCGCUGGUCGAACCCCAAUUUUUUUUUACCGGUUGACCUCGGAUCAGGUAGGGAUACCCGCUGAACUUAAGCAUAUCAAUAAGCGGAGGA
RNAcentral lists this unclassified non-coding RNA (339 nucleotides) under soil metagenome. RNAcentral's name for it is "partial contains 5.8S ribosomal RNA, internal transcribed spacer 2, and large subunit ribosomal RNA". The stretch from base 1 to 120 matches the Rfam family "5.8S ribosomal RNA", at positions 35 to 154 of the family's 154-position model. The record is from RNAcentral.